UACGUAGGGUGCAAGCGUUGUCCGGAAUUAUUGGGCGUAAAGAGCUCGUAGGCGGUCUGUCGCGUCGGCUGUGAAAACCCGGGGCUCAACCUCGGGCCUGCAGUGGGUACGGGCAGACUAGAGUGCGGUAGGGGAGAUUGGAAUUCCUGGUGUAGCGGUGGAAUGCGCAGAUAUCAGGAGGAACACCGAUGGCGAAGGCAGAUCUCUGGGCCGUAACUGACGCUGAGGAGCGAAAGCGUGGGGAGCGAACAGG
RNAcentral lists this ribosomal RNA (253 nucleotides) under uncultured bacterium. RNAcentral describes it as "partial 16S ribosomal RNA". It matches the Rfam family "Bacterial small subunit ribosomal RNA", at positions 524 to 776 of the family's 1533-position model. The record is from RNAcentral.